RNAcentral lists this ribosomal RNA (254 nucleotides) under uncultured bacterium. Its description in RNAcentral is "partial 16S ribosomal RNA". It matches the Rfam family "Bacterial small subunit ribosomal RNA", at positions 524 to 777 of the family's 1533-position model. The record is from RNAcentral.
UACGAAGGGGGCUAGCGUUGCUCGGAAUCACUGGGCGUAAAGCGCACGUAGGCGGCUUUGCAAGUCAGAGGUGAAAGCCCGGGGCUCAACUCCGGAAUUGCCUUUAAGACUGCAUCGCUAGAAUUGUGGAGAGGUAAGUGGAAUUCCGAGUGUAGAGGUGAAAUUCGUAGAUAUUCGGAAGAACACCAGUGGCGAAGGCGACUUACUGGACACAUAUUGACGCUGAGGUGCGAAAGCGUGGGGAGCAAACAGGG